RNAcentral lists this long non-coding RNA (21142 nucleotides) under Populus tremula. Its description in RNAcentral is "long non-coding RNA (PTRE_LNC003033)". The record is from RNAcentral. Lineage: Eukaryota; Viridiplantae; Streptophyta; Magnoliopsida; Malpighiales; Salicaceae.
UAUCACUAAGUCAUGAAAAAAACAUAUUCUGAAAACAACCACAAUAAUAGUUUGCAUGAAAUCAAUCUUAACUUGUGGUUAUUUCUAUCUGUGUUAGUUUUCAAGGGGUUUCUAGUGACGUGCUUUUUACUCAUGUUUUAUUAUGGAAUGCAAAGUAGUGGUGUCUUGCUGUAAAAUAAAAGGGUAAACUUCAAUUAUUUUCCUUGUAAUAGAUUCAUUUAUAUUCUACUUCUACUCCUACUCUUAUAGUUUUCAUAAAAUCCUGUUAAUAUUACUCUUAACUAUGAAAUAUCUAAUUCUUUUUAAUUUUGGUUUUUAAGUAUUUUAGGUUUCGGAUUUUUGUUGUAAGAUACUAUGACAUGCAUAAAGACUUGAGAGGAAAUAAUAAGAGAAGAAUUAAAAAUAUAUAUAUAUAUAUAUAUAUGAAAAGCAUCAGAUUAUCACACGGUUAUUUAGUAGUAAAUAAACUAUCAUGAUAGAAGUGAAAACAUUGAAUAGAAACUUACAGGCAGUUGUAGAAGUUUUGCUCGUUGUCAACCUGCCUCCAGCGUCCAAAAAGAUCUGCCAAGAAUGGUACUAGACUCUCCCUAUUUAAUAUGAAAAUUCCAAAAUGUUCUAUUGCUCCUUUACAAUUGCUACAAUGGCAAGCAAAGGAUAAGAUUCCCAAACACUUGUGUGAAUCAAGGUUGUCAAAAACUUUUUUUGACACGACAUGCAAUUUAUAAUAUAAACUUAUAUUGUAAAUUUAAAUUGUAAAAUCAUAAAUAAAAUUAUUUAAUUAAUUAUAUAUUAACAAACUUUGAAUAGAAUUAAAAUGCUACUGGAAUUGGAAUUCUGACUGAUUUGAUCUUUCUGUUCAAAUUCAAGUCCGGCAUUUUCAGCAAGAAGAAGAGUACUAGUACUAUUCUCUCUUGAAGAGCACAUUGCUUAAUCUAUAGAACUCUUGUCAACAUAUUAGAAUUUUAGGCUUAAAGUCUUAGAUUAGAAUAAAUGUUAAAAAUUACAGGGAAUAUUCAGCAAUAUAAUAUAUAUUCUCAGCCCUCUCAAACGAGGUUUUUUUUUUAUUAUUUUAAUAUUUUCGUAUUUCAUUUUAACUAUUGGCUUUAUGGCCUUUUCAAUAUACUCUUGAUAAUUAUCCAAAAAAAAGUAUAGGAUAUAGCAAAUGCAUCAAAGGUGGAAGCAUUUUCUACAGUGGCUUUAAAGCAUUUCAAUUAAAAUGGUUUGCACGUUAACAAUAUUCUAUUAUAAACCUCGUUUGAAGUAUAGCAUAAAGCAAACACUCAUGGCACAUUAUAGAGCAUAAUUUAUUAAAAAAAUUCUUGAUGCUUUUUCGUUGAGAAAUACAGCAGGUAAAUUUAAGAAGCUAACAAUGACUAGAUAGUGAGGUACACAGAGUUUAAGUCAUACGAAACAAUUGAGAUAGCAUAAUCAAACAGCUUGAUCGAUCGAACACGCUGUCUGUAUGAUAUGAGUAUGACUACAACAGCAGCUGCUACAACAGAGAUUAUAGCCCAUGGAUUACGGAAAUACUUCUGUUUCAAGAAUGCCUUCCAUUUGUGUCCCCGCUUUCGGUAGUACUUGUUCAGAUCUUCGAAGAUCUAGAAUUCAACUACACCAGAAAAGUAGAAAUUUUCGACGCUGAUAAGAUUUUCCAUUGAACUAUUGCGGAAAAGGAUUGAAACUGCAUGCAUCGUUAUCAGAGAUCAAAGCUUGUGAUGCACCCAUAAAAGAUAAAACGAAAACCCGUUAAUUGAACUCCAUUACAAAGCAAGCCUUUCCUGUUAUCCUGAUAAUUAACACCUUCACUUAUCACUCCUACUACGCUAUUCUCCAUCCAUGCAAGCUCCUCCUCUUCUGGAUCAUGUGUUAUAACGAGUGAAGGCACUGGUUGAACAACUGGGACCGCAUUAAUAAUAUUAUCUUGGAUGACAAGGGCUACGUUUAUAUCCACUGUUUGAGUAACAGGGUAUGCAUUGCUUUGGAGUUGACGAGUGCUAGCUGAAUCACUGCUGAUUUUCCCUUUUCGCGCAACCAUAUAAUAACUUCUGCAGUCGCACUCCCUGACUGAUACACGCUGAACAUGCUUUUUUUUUAUCGGAAUCCGAUGCUGCGAAUUUGUAUAUUUCCCCAGUUGAAACCGCUUCAAAUUUGCACGUAGACGAUAAGACCCAAACCAUAUUCCAUUAAGCUUUCCAAGGCGAUCCUGUUGUUCAGAAUCUGUUUGCAUUGUAACACAGCCAGACCUCCAGUUUCUUCCGUUGUGUCGUCGUGAUAUGUACAUAACAAUUACUACGCCAUAUUUGUUAAAAGUUCUGCGGAGGGUUUGAUAAUCUAACCAAGAGGUGAAUCGCUCUAGGAAAAUCUGAGACAGUGGUGUAUUAGGCGAGGUUGAUGGUGACAGGGUAGCGGCUUGGUUGGAUUUCGAUGCUGUAAGUGUUUUUUUAGGUGUUAUAGAGGAAACGAGAUGGUUGCAUAUUAUUUUCCUUAGGAGGGGGAUUAAUUUAUUAUGCAACAAGAUCAGGAAAACAAGAAACGAAAAAGAUCUGUUAUUACUCAGGAUUUUAAUUACAUUGCAAUCAUAAGGCGGGGAAACAGUACAAAGGGAUUAAAUAUUUAAACUUGACUCAUAACACAUCAUCAGCUUAUACUUUCUAGAAGCGGGUGGGUGCAAUUGUGAAAGAAAGAGGCAACCGCCAGUAUUAAAGAAUGCAAUAGCCAUUAAUGAAGGAGGUGCAGUAAUAGAACAAAAAUGAAGAAAAUACAAGGGGUGAUGUAAUCAAUAAGGUUUCUUAGUGUUUUGUUUUCCUAUAAUCAGGCAUGUGGUUUGGGAGUUUAGAUGUGUGGAUUGAUCAAGAGAGUGUUAGAGAGCAUUGUAAUCUUGAGUAUUGUUUGAAAGAAUUCUGAAUUUAGUGUUUGUUUGUGUGUAUUUGUCUCUCAUGGAGGUGCACAGCUAGUAACCUCAAUCAUCCACUCCACCAACUAUGGUAUCAAAGCCUAAGAAGCAAAAUUAGAAGGUGUUCUUGAUUUUUUACCCUGAAAUACUAAUGUUUGAAAGUGUAUUCUGAAUGCAUCAUUGAAAAGUACUCAAUAAAAAAAUUAUAAUGAGGCAAAAAUCAGCCCAAAUAGAGAUUAGAUGAGCCUCUUGAAGUUUCACCGUGAAAAAUCACCUUCAUUAAAAAAACAAUCUGAAAAAACCAGACCGGUCAAUGUUCUGAAAUUACAAAACAACCAUAUAAUUUUCAUAAAUGUCAGAAUGGACACUAAAUAUUUCAAAGGCACCCAAAAUUUUCAUAAUUUUCAUAACAAUUCCUCAUGUUUCUUAAAUGUAAUAAACACCCCAACAAUUUUAAAAAUUGCAAAAUAACCCUAGAAGUUCUAAAGUUCUUAGCGAUCUCAAGAAUUGCUACUCUUCCAUAACCAAUAGACCAAAUAUUAGUCUACAUUACCUCAUUUUAGCAAAUCUUGUGAGACAUAAUUAAUGAUUGAAAAAUAAUUUUUAUUUCAUUUAAUUUUGAGUGCUUAAAGAUGUAACUUUAUUUGAUAGUUAUUCUCAAAAAAAACGAAAAACGAAAAAGCAAAUUUCAUUUAUUUUUGAAGAGUAAAAUACGUGUCAUCACAUAUUUCUAAACACGAAGCAUUAAUUAUAAAAAGUAUUACGCGGCCUAUUUUCAAUUGUCUACUUGCAUACAAUUACAGUAUGCGAGACAAAGUUCGGCCUAUUUUCUUGAAUAGAAGUUGUGCAAAACAAGAAAGAAAAUCUUCAUCUCCCAAACUUGUGCAUACAAUUACAUGAUAUACAAUUACAUGUUCCCUUCUAUUUUUACAGUUUCUUUUCUUUCAAUAUUCCUGAACUUUGUCUGCUUUUCUUUGGUGGGUCUCUAGGUAUUGCAAAGAAACAAAUUUUCUCUUCCAUUGAUGUCUCUUUUAAUAAUCAUUACUUUUCUUUAUCUUUUUAUUCAUAGUUGUUUUGAUUUUCUUACUGUUUUGGUUUAUGGUUUGUGUUUUUAUAAGGUAAAAGAAGGAAUUAUUUUGGUUUCAAGAGAGGGCAAGGUGAUUGAAACGGUUGAUGACCCAAAAUCUUGAUCCUGUUGUUUUUCCAUCUGCUGCAACAAAUAACAUGUUAUGUUAUUACUAGGUUGUGGUAGUCAAGUUAGAGAAAAUUAGUGUUUUUUUUUGUCAUAUUUUGUGAGCUUAAUUUCCUUGUCUCUUAGGAUUCUUGUGUUUCUUUUUUCGCCUUUGAUAGUUCAAUCCCAUAAAUAUUUUGUAUUGAUUAACCUAACCGUGAAACUGAGAUAUAUAUCAGUGCAGUUUAAAGAAACUGUGAAAAUAAAAGUAUUCAAUUUGGAUACUUGAAACUGGUCAGGUUGAAUUUGGAUAUCUAACAUUUAUACUCAUAUUGGAUAUGAAUAUUAGUUUUGGAUUUGGGCUUAGUACUAAAACCAAACCUAUGUAUAUAUACCCAUUGUUAUUUCUAAUGACAUGACAACUAAUUAGCUCCAUACUCUUAUGACUCGAAAUUAUGUCAAGACUAUUUGGAAUAGGAAGGACAGUGGAAUUCCAAGAGUAUUUUGUUUGCCACCAUGUAUAAUGGGUUAGACAUAAAUUUUCAUAUUAAGAUGGAAAAACUUAAUUGUAAAAUUCAAAGGAAACUUAUUUUAACAUGAAAAUCUGUUUUAUUUUUUGUUCUUGGAUCAACACUUCAGUGUCACUUCUAGUAAUAUAUUUAUAAAUUUUGUUAAUGUAGAGAGUCCAAAAUAAAAAUAAAAAGAAAAAGAGAACUAUGUUCACUUGCAAGCCUCAACAAAGAAAUUAAAAAAAAAACUAUUUCACUAAUUUUUUAUUGAGAUAUUUAUUUUAGUUUGCAGCAAAUAAUAAAAUUUUAUCAUUAUUGAGAUUUUAUAUAUAGUUUAUCACCUUUGCGAUGGAAAAGUGUAAUAUUAAGUUUUGAUUAUUGAGAAUAAAAUUUAAAGUAUUUUUCCUUCUAUUAUGAGAAUUGUGCAAGGUAAGCUUUCUCAAGCUUCUUUUGUAUAGCCUUUCCUGAUAACCUUACAAUCUUAAUUUGUGGUUUUUUCUGUCUGCGUUAGUUUUUAAGGGGUUUCAGAUUAAUGCAAAAAAAAAUUCAAGAACAAAUGUAAAAGGAGAUGAAAAAUGCACAAUCAAACACAAGAUUCCAAGACAACCCGUAAGAGCAUCUGUAAGGAAUCAAAUCUGAUUUUUUCUUUCUUUUUCUAAUUGUAAAUGUUUCACCUGAAUGCAUGUCUUUGACUACUUGAAAGAGCUAAACAUUAAAAAUCCAUAGCUUCUCUAAAUUAAAACUUGCAAGCAUUUUUCUGAACAAAAAAUAGAAAGGACUCUAGUGUCUGCUACUUACACAAACUCUGAAAUUCUGAAGUUUUUUUGAAGAGUUUUCUUGUCUGCUACUUUUUUUCCUGCAAUUCAGCACCUCUUCUAAUUCUACACAAAAUUCUUCGUCAACGUUUUCGGACUUGGAAGUCAACUUGAAAAGUUAGAAAAACUACCUCUCUUUUUUUUUAGUUAUUUAGUAGUAAAUAAACUAUAGGGAUAGAAGUGAAAACAUUGGAUAAUUUUAAACUAUAGGAAUACAAGUGAAACAUUGAUAAAUCUAUAAAGGCCAUGGUGUCUAUGCUAUGUUGACUCAAAUUGGGUGUUCUUGAACUGUGAUUUAUGCAAAUGGAAAAAGAAAUGAAGGGUUUGUUAGCUUUGGCCAUGGUGUCUAUGCUAUGUAGUUUUGGUAUCAGCAAGGAGUGUACAAACAUCCCGACUCAGUUAUCGUCACAUUCAUUUCGAUAUGAACUGUUAUCAUCACAGAAUGAAACAUGGAAACAAGAAAUGUUUGAACAUUAUCAUUUGAUACCUACCGAUGAUUCAGCUUGGGCCAGUUUGCUGCCACGAAAGAUACCGAGAGAAGAAGAUGAGCAUAGUUGGGAAAUGAUGUAUAGAAAUUUGAAAAGUCCUUUGAAAUCCUCUGGAAAUUUCCUUAACGAAAUGUCAUUGCAUAAUGUGAGAUUGGAUCCAAGUUCAAUCCAUUGGAAGGCUCAACAAACAAACUUGGAGUACUUGUUGAUGUUGGAUGUGAAUAACUUGGUGUGGAGCUUUAGGAAAACUGCAGGUUCGUCUACACCAGGAAAAGCUUAUGGUGGUUGGGAGGCACCGGAUUCCGAGCUUCGAGGACAUUUUGUAGGUUAGUUUUUUGCUGAUGAUCUUGAAUUUAGUGUUGAUCAAUAUUAGUACAUAUAUUUUUAUGACAAACAAAUUUGAUUUGGCUUGUUGAAGGGCACUAUUUGAGUGCAUCAGCACAGAUGUGGGCUAGUACUCAUAAUGUAACUCUAAAGAAGAAAAUGUCUGCAGUAGUUUCUGCUCUAUCUGCCUGUCAGGUGAAAAUGGGAACAGGAUACCUUUCUGCUUUCCCAUCUAAAUUAUUUGAUCGGUUUGAAGCUAUAAAGCCAGUCUGGGCUCCUUAUUACACCAUUCAUAAGGUAGUAUCUACUUCAAAAUGGUUCACUGUAGUGAUUCUUCAGAAAAUCAUACGACUAACCAUUUGUGUUGUUGACUUUGACAGAUCCUAGCAGGUCUUUUGGACCAAUAUACAUUGGCAGAUAAUGCUCAAGCUUUAAAAAUGGUUAAGUGGAUGGUUGAUUACUUUUACAAUCGAGUUAGAAACGUUAUAACCAAUUACAGUGUUGAAAGGCAUUAUCUAUCACUCAACGAGGAAACUGGUGGUAUGAAUGAUGUCCUUUACAAGUUAUUUAGCAUAACAGUAAGUACACUAAUCUGUGCAGUUUCCUUUGCUUCUCCUGAUUCUUCACUUUACGAGUCCUAUGAAUUGUCUCCCUGGAGCUGGAAUGGAUAUAUUUUUUGAAUUUACUCUGUUCCGUGGAAGAUAAACCUCUGGAUAUCUUUAACUCGAGCCUUAAAUUUUACUUUGAUGCAGGGAGAUCCAAAGCAUUUGGUGCUGGCUCACCUGUUUGACAAGCCUUGCUUCCUUGGUUUGCUUGCAGUACAGGUAAUUUAUGACUAUCAAUUGUUGUUUAUCAGCUUUUGGCUGGUGUUGUAGUCUUCUGGUUUUUCAGGUCAUUUCCCUCCUUUAGCCGGUAAGAAUAGUUUCCCUUUGAGAAAACAAGCUUCUGAUUUUGUAAAAUGAAAUGUUAUCAUCUUUGACAUAACAAUUCCAAUCAGUUAGAGCAAGCCUAAUUUAAGAUGAACUUCUGAGUUUUUUAUAUUGCAAAUAGAAUGAAUUUGGAAUGCAGGCUAUUUUAUAGCAGCUUCUUCUCUUCCUUGUAGGCCGAUGUCAUAUCAGGUUUCCACGCCAAUACACAUAUCCCUGUUGUCAUCGGUGCACAGAUGCGAUAUGAAAUCACUGGCGAUCCUCUUUAUAAGGUUAAUGCUUUAUAUUAAUCAUAGAUUACCUGAGCAGCAUUUUCUAUGAAAUGUUGUAGCAUUUUGAUUACUGUUCUACUGAGCUAUUGCAGUUCAUGUUAGAGUAGUCAUGCAUGCAUGAUCUCUGAUCUUAAAACUGCCUAAGACAGAUUUGAUCUUCCAGGAUAUAGGAGCAUUCUUCAUGGAUGUAGUCAACUCUUCUCACAGCUAUGCAACUGGAGGAACUUCUGUUAGCGAGUUCUGGUACUGAUUGUUGUUUUUCGUUCAAUAAUAAUAGUGAUAUUCUGAAUUAGGUUUAAUGCCUCCAUAUAGAAGAAUCUUGCUUCUACUUUCAUAAAAAAGCUUGCUACGAUCUUAUCCUGUGUUGGUUGACACCUUGCCUGAUGUGUGAGUACGUCAGAUCCAAAGCGACUGGCUAGCACGUUACAGACAGAAAAUGAGGAAUCAUGCACAACUUAUAAUAUGCUGAAGGUGUGUUUCAUCUCAUAUCUCUGCUUACUGAUUUAGAUUUUAUGUGUAUUUGAUGAAUAGAAUUUGUUUCGAUCUUUUCAAAAACUUAUUUUGACUCCAAGGUCUGUAUGUCAGUAAACAUUUUGGCAUCUAUACGGCAUUUACCUGGCAGUUUUUUCAUCUUCGUGUUACAUAAAUUUUCCUGCUUAAAUACUCUGCACUUUUUUUUGCAACCUGUAGGUCUCUCGCCACCUGUUCAGAUGGACCAAAGAAAUGGCUUAUGCAGAUUAUUACGAGCGAGCUCUGACAAACGGUGUGAUUCUAAUGAUUUACAUGCUUCCACAAUAUCCUGGAAGUUCCAAAAAGAGGAACAGAACCUGAAGUGAUGAUUUACAUGCUUCCACAAUAUCCUGGAAGUUCCAAAGCCAAUAGCUAUCAUGGAUGGGGGACUUCGUAUGAUUCUUUUUGGUGCUGCUAUGGAACAGGUGUGGAAACUGUUACCUGCCUCAUCCUUUCUUAGCUGCUAAUUGUCACAAUUAUCAGAUUUCAAUGUAAAGUUCUCUGUAUUUUCAUUGAUUCUGAAAGGAAGAAUUCAGUCCUAUAAAUACAUGUAAAAUAAUCCCUAAUUUGUAGUCUAUAAUCCCUGAUUUGUAGUCUAUAAUAAAUACAAUAAAUACAAUAUAUUCUGUUACAAUUUGGUUGCCAUAUAUUGUUGAUAUUCUUGCCAUAUACAUUGACAUCCCCCCUCAAAUUGAUGCUGGUCGAUCAAGAAGCAUCAAUUUGUCAAUCAUGAGUUGAUGUCGAGGCCGAGACAAGGCCUUCGUAAAGACAUCAGCGGUCUGAUGCUCGGUGGAAAUAUGAGGUAGUGUAAGAAUAUUAUGAUCAAGAGCUUCACGAAUAUAGUGACAAUCGACUUCAAUAUGUUUGGUGCGUUCAUGAAACACAGGAUUAGUAGCAAUCUGAAUAGCACUUGUGUUAUCAGCAUGAAGAGGUGUAGGAGUGUGCUGAGGAAAACCAAGUUCACGUAGCAAACCCUGGAGCCACACAAUUUCAGAACAUGCGGAGGACAUAGCUCGAUACUCAGAUUCUGUGGAAGAUUUUGAGAUUCGGUCUUGCUUUUUGCUUUUCCAUGAAAUUAAAGCAUUUCCAAGAAACAUACACCCCAGUAACAGACCGACGUGUAUCCAUGCACCCUGCCCAAUCUGCAUCACUAUAACCUGUUAAUUGUAAUGAAUUAUCAGCAGGAAAAAAUAAUCCUCGCCCAGAUGUGCCUUUAAGAUAGCGAAGAAUUCUUCGGACAACAGCUAAAUGAGGUUGACGAGGAGCCUGUAAAAACUGACUGACUUGUUGUACUACAAAAGAAAUAUCUGGCCGAGUAAUGGUUAGAUAAUUCAAACUGCCCACCAAUUGCCUGUAUAUGGAGGGAUCAGGUAACAGGUCACCAUCAUUCUGACAAAGUUUUAAAUUAAUCUCGAGAGGUGUAAGAACGAUAUUCCCUGAUUCAAGACCGCCCAAGAGAAGAAUCUCUUGGGUGUAUUUGUGCUGAUGUAGAGAAAUCCCAUUGGACAUAGAGUGCACCUGUAGACCAAGGAAAUAGUGAAGGUGUCCCAGAUCCUUCAUAUGAAAUUCACUGUUAAGAGAACGCUGUAAAUCCUCAAUGAGUGGAAUGUCAGAUCCUGUAAUGAUAAUAUCAUCCACAUAUACCAGAAGAGCAACAAUACCAGUAGUAGUUUGCUGAAGAAACAGAGAGGAAUCAUAUUGGCUCUGAAUAAAUUUAAGUUUCAGAAGAGUAGUGCGAAAUUUUUCAAACCAUGCCCGGGGUGCCUGUUUUAGACCAUACAGGGACCGUUUCAACCAGCAGACUUUAUCAGAUGGGUGAGUAAACAUACCAGGAGGAGGAGUCAUAUAAAUAUUCUCUUUCAGAUCUCCAUGUAAAAAUGCAUUUUUUACAUCCAUUUGACGAAGUGGCCAUCUCUUGGAAGCAGCAAUUGCCAUAAUGGUGCGUAUGGUAGUCAUUUUAGCCACAGGUGCAAAGUCUCCUCAUAAUUAAUACCAUAUGCCUGACAAUUUCCAAGAGCCACCAACCGUGCUUUAUAUCGUUCCACAGAUCCAUCAGGUUGGAAUUUAAUAGUGUAUACCCAUUUGCAGCCAAUAGGUUUAAUACCGGUAGGACAAGAAACAAUAUCCCAUGUGUGAUUAUCCUGAAGAGCCUGAAGUUCCUCUUUCAUGGCCUGUUGCCAACAUUCUUGGGUACAAGCCUGCGCAUAAGUCUUAGGCACAAAAGUACUAUCAAUAGUGGUUGCUGAGUAUCCAUACCUGUUUGGGGCACGUGAAACUCUAGUUGAUCGUCUUAGUUGAGGGAAUGAUCAGAUGUCGGUUCCGUGUCCGGAAGGGGCAAAGUGGAUGGUGGAUGACGUCUUUGAUAUACAAUUCCUGGCUUAAAACGUUCAAAGAUAUAAGAUGGACUAUCAUCAUCAAAUGUGGGAAGCUGGAUAGGAGUGGAUUCUGUAGAGGACAAGAAGGGAAAAAAUUCUGAUUUUCAAAGAAAAUCACAUUUCGAGAGAUACGAAUUUUAUGAGCAUUUGCAUCAUAACAUACAAACCCUUUAUGAGAAUUACUAUAUCCUAGAAAAGCACAACGAGCAGCUUGGGCUGAGAGUUUAUUACGUUCAGUAAAUGGUAAGUGAACAAAACAAACACACCCAAAAACAUGGAGAGAAUCAUACUCAGGAAGAACACCAAAUAAAAUAGAGUAUGGAGAUGCAAAGUUUAGAACUUGAGAAGGCAAACGAUUGAUUAGAUGAACGGCUGUGAUAGAGCUUCUACCCAAAAUCGAGUAGGUACUGAAGAAUCAAUUAAUAAAGUGCGAACAACAUCUAAAAGAUGACGAUUCUUACGCUCAGCAAGUCCAUUUUGUUGAGGAGUGUAAGGACAAGAUCUUUGAGAGAGAAUCCCUUUGUUUUUGAGAUAUUCCUGAAAUUCUUUGGACACAUAUUCCCCCCCGGAGUCAGAACGAAGUAUUUUAAUAUGAGCAGAAAAUUGAUUUUCAACAAAUACUACGAAAGUCUGAAAUGUUGAGAAUACAUCAGCUUUAGAUCGGAGAAAAUAUAUCCAAGUGAAACGACUGAAAUCAUCAAUAAACGUGACAAAAUAUUUAUACUGAGCAUGAGAGAUAACAGGCUUAUACCCCAUACAUCAGUAUGAAUAAUUUCAAAACAUUUAGAAGCACGACUACCAUGUGAAGGAAAUGAUAAUGCUUUGCUUUUACCCAAUUUGCAAGAACUACAGUCCAAAAAUUCUGUGGAAAAAGAAUUUUUAUUCCCCAAAUAUCCAUGUUUCAUAAGAUGAGUCAAUACAUUAGAAUUGGGAUGUCCCAAUUUCUUAUGCCAAAAAUGAGGAUUAUUAAUGACAGUAGAAUAAGCACAAGAAUUAAUACUAGGAAUAGAAAAUUGUAUUGGAAAAAACCCCACUUUAGGCCCCUUCGCGAUCACCUUCCCCGACACUUGAUCCUGCACACAACAACCAUGACGAUUAAAGAGAAUUUCACAGUUAUUUUCUACCAUUUGACCAACAGAGAGUAAACUUGUUGAUAAUUUCGGUGACACAAAAAUAUUGUUGAAAUAAGACCCCAAAUUACCAAUGAUAAAAUCGGCAGAUUAUCACCAUUUGCUACCUGUAUAUGUUGAUUACCCAUGUAUUUUCGCACAUUACACAACCAUUUUCACUGCUGGUCAUGAUUCGACGCUGCCGAAUCCAUUAACCAUGGUUUAUUAUAUGCCGAAUCCAAAGAAAGUUAAGUUUAUUACCAGAAAUCCAAGUGCAGAGAAGGCAGAGAUGAUCAUCUGCUGCACCAUCUCGGGAGUGAUCGUGCCUGACGAAGAGCUCACCGACGAUGAAGAUUCUGGUGCCAACGGUGAGGACACGGCUGCGGCAGCCAUAGAAGUAGCCCCCAAUUUUGACUGCACAGUAAACCCUUGCGAUUCUGUGGUCGCAGACGCAUUCCCUGAUUACAUGCCCCUCCUUCUUACAAUAAUUGCAGAAUUUCUUACUGCAAUUUCUGGCAAUGUGCCCUAAUUCCUUGCAAUUAAAACACUGCACACUCCCACCCCUCUGUCGUCCCCUUCCUUGAGCCAUGUAAGCCACAUUCAUCUCGUGACAGUGUCCUGAGUCAACUCGUGUUGAGUGGCGAGUCGUUGUUCUUCCCGUAACAGUUCCCCCAAACAUUCAUCCAAGGUGGGUACUGGACUUCGGUUGAUCAAGCUAGCUCUCACAGCCUCAAAUUCUGGCCGGAGCUUCAUCAAGAACUGGUCCCUCUGGCUCUCGGCAUAAACAAGGUAUAGUGCUUCUAAACUAUCCUUCGGUAUUUUAGAGUAAAUUAUGCCAGUAUAUUCACUCCAUAGGUUUAGAAAUCCAGCAUAGAAUUGUUCAAUUGAAAGAUUACCUUGUUUGUAAUUGGCAAUACCCAUUUCGACCUGAAAUUUUUGAGCCGAAUUGUUCUGGGAAUAAAUGCGUCUGAAGUAGUCCCAAAUCUCCUUCCCUGUGCCAAACGAUCGAAGAUUGUUGAUCAUAUGGGGUUCAACAGACCCCAGUAUCCAGGAGACAAUUUUCGCAUCCUUGGUAGUCCAUAUACCCAGCUCCUGUGGUUCGGUUGGUGCUGGUGAAGAUCCAUCAAGAUGCCCCCAUAAUUCCUUCCCUUUAACAAACAUACGAAACUGAAACUCCCAACUGGCAUAGUUUUUGCCAUUGAAUCGAGUAAGAAAAGCCUCUCCAGACAUCCUAGGAAUCUCAAAAAAAAUAUCACCAAAUACUGAUGAAUUCAGUCUAUAGACUUAAGAAAAGAACAAAAGAUCUAGAUUAGAGAAUAACCGGCUCUGAUACCAUGUCACAAUUAUCAGAUUUCAAUGUAAAGUUCUCUGUAUUUUCAUUGAUUCUGAAAGGAAGAAUUCAGUCCUAUAAAUACAUGUAAUAAUCCCUAAUUUGUAGUCUAUAAUCCCUGAUUUGUAGUCUAUAAUAAAUACAAUAAAUACAAGAUAUUCUGUUACAAUUUGGUUGCCAUAUAUUGUUGAUAUUCUUGCCAUAUACAUUGACACUAAUACAGUUCACUGUUUUUAAUCAUUUUUUACUUGUAAGAGGAGAAACAUACCUCUGCUUCUGUGCUAACAAUUUGAUAUUAUCUUUUGUUGCUGUACCCACAGGAAUUGAAUCAUUUUCAAAGCUGGGAGAUUCCAUAUAUUUUGAAGAAGGAGAAGCCCCAGGCCUUUACAUCAUUCAGUAUAUAUCAAGCUCUCUUGAUUGGAAAUCUGGACAGAUUGUGCUCAAUCAGAAAGUUGAUCCUAUCGUUUCUUCGGAUCCAUAUCUUCGGGUGACAUUAACCUUUUCUCCUAAGAAGGUAUUUGCUGAAUCGAUCUAUCAUAUGAGCAUACGGAAACUAGUGUUACUUUUGAAGGAGUUACUUCCCAAUAAAAAAAAAAAAAUCAACCUGGAUCCUCCUUGGCUGGGAAAAGGAUGUUAAAAAGUGGCUAAAUCUACUGGAAAUUUAUAAUUAUUUUUAUAGUGUGAAAGUGCACAGAGAAUAGAAAGUCUUAACAAGAGGUGGGAAAAAAAAGGCUUACCUGUGAUCAUAAUGGAUCUGAUUUGUGCAGGGGACUAGCCAAGCAUCGACCUUGUAUUUGCGGAUACCAAUUUGGACAAAUUCAUAAGGUGCUACUGCAACAAUAAAUUCUCAGAGUUUGCGUCUACCAGCUCCAGGUGUGAAGUAUAAUCUUGACUAUUUGCAUCUGUUAAUCUACAUGUUUCUUAUAUUUUGAUUUAAUCCAUUUUAUAAGUGCUAAUAGGAGAGUUCAUUUGGCAUCUUCCGAGUGAUACCUGGAAUAGUCUCUAAUACUCUGCUUCUAAUGAAGGUAGUUUCUUAUCAGUCAAUAGAAAAUGGCGCAGCAGUGACAAGCUAACCCUUCAGAUUCCUAUCAGUUUGAGAACAGAGGCCAGUAAAGGUAUUUUCUUCGGAUUCCUGCUUGAAAUGUAAAAUAUUUUCGUAAAUGUCUAUAAUGAUGAUGGACAUAGAGCUGACAAAGUCCUCUGAACAACAUUCAGAUGACCGGCAAGAGUAUGCUUCUGUUCAGGCAAUACUAUAUGAUCCUUACCUACUUGCUGGUCAUACAAGUGGUGACUGGAACCUCAAAACCGGGUCAGGAAAUUCUCUUUCAGACUCAAUAACACCAAUCCCUGGCUCUUAUAAUGGACAAUUAGUAUCUUUUUCCCAAGAGUCUGGAAUUUCGACUUUUGUGUUAACAAAUUCAAACCAAUCAAUAUCUAUGGAAAAGCUCCCGGAAUCAGGCACCGAUGCUUCUCUUCAAGCCACCUUUAGACUUGUAUUAAAAGACUCUUCUUCCUCGAAACUCUCAAGUGUUAAAGAUGUUAUUGGAAAAUCAGUCAUGCUUGAACCCUUUCAUCUUCCUGGAAUGCUUUUAGUGCAGCAAGGAAAAGACAGAAGCUUUGCACUCACAAACUCUGCUGAUGGUGAUGGACCAUCCAUCUUCCGCGUGGUUUCUGGAUUGGAUGGAAAAGACGGAACUGUAUCCCUGGAAUCAGGUAUCCAGAAUGGUUGCUACGUGUACAGUGGUGUGGAUUAUAAGUCAGGUCAAAGCAUGAAGCUUAGCUGCAAAUCGGAGACAUCAUCAGAUACUGGUUUUAAUCAGGGAGCCAGCUUUGUAAUGAACAAAGGACUAAGUCAAUAUCAUCCAAUCAGCUUCGUUGCAAAGGGGGACAAAAGAAAUUUUCUUCUUGCACCAUUACAUAGUCUGAGAGAUGAAUCUUACACUAUUUAUUUUAACAUUCAACCUUAACAAGUGUUGAUAGAGCUAUUGAUUAGUGACUCUGCUUUUAGAUAAAUUAAGUUCAAUACAUAAAGAGAACUUGAAACCUCUUACGAGGAAAGGGUGUCCUAAUUGGUGUGGGGCACUUUCUUCAUUAGUUUAGUAUAAUUAUUUUUAUUAUAUUACUUCCUUAACUGUUAAGAUUUUUUUGGUGUUUGAAAAGACUCUAGUGUAAGAACAUGCUUAUCCUUUGAUUCCAUCAAGCUAAAAUGUUUUUACAAUGUUUUAAAUGUCUAAUUAUAUAGGAUAACCAGCUUACAGGCUGUUUUUCUUUGAGGCUCAAAUUAAGCUCGAAAGCUACCAUUUAAUUUUUUUUUUGUUGUUGUUUUUGAAUUAUUUUUUCCUAUUUAGAAUAGGAUUUUUGAUGUGGGACAACCAAUCCAAGAUUUCAUGGAUCAAAUCGACAAAUAAAAAUGGUUCAAGGCUCAAAAUAAUUAUAAUUUUUUAUUUGAUUACUAGAUCAAAUUCAAAUUUUACAGUGAAUUCUUGAUAAAAAAACAAUUUGAACUUACGAUCAGCAUCUUUCGCACUCCAAACUUGAUCAUUGCUCAUAUUCACCAAAUUCCACUUCAAAAAUCCUGAAUUCCACUUCAAAAGUCCUUAAAAUUGCCUUCAAAGUUUUGGACCCUAUUUGGAACCUUUUCCUUGUUAAUUUUGGAUGUUAGCUUUAUUAUUUUUCAAAAUUACUUGUUUUCUUGCUAUUUAUGAAUGUUUACGGUAUUUAAAUUUAUAUUCUCAGAUUUUAUGACUUUUUGAUUAAUAAAACUAUAGUCUUGUAGAACUUUGAUUGUGUUUAUAUCUUAUCGUGUGUUAAAUUCAAAUCCUUAGCUUUCUCUACAUCAAUUUUUAAUUUAAUUAUGAUUUUACAAAUUGAGUUUUUUUCUUGUAUUGAAACAGCUUUUUAAGCUAUUUUUUUUUAGAUUUAAGAACACCAAUUUUUUUCUCUAUAUAUAGAGCCGCAAAAUCUUAGGAAUUAAAGAUCCUAUCUAUGUAAUAAUAAUUAGUAGAAAAUUAAUCCUAUUCCUUAUACAUACUCAAGAUUUUCAUUUUCCAUUUAAAUCAUAAUUUUCUAAUUCCUUUAACAUAUAAUCCAUAUUUCUUUGCUAAAGCAGGCAGUUCGAUCAAGAGGUCAGCUUUAUUUUUUUAAUUAUUAGUUUUUUUUAGCACUCACAUUUUUUUAUAAGCCAGAUCAUAUAUAUAUAUAUAUAUAUAUAUAUAUAUAUAUAUAUAUAUAUAUAUAUAUAUUCUCUCUCUCUUGAUUCUCUACCUCGUUUGCCUAUCUCUUUACUAUAGAGUAAUUACGGUGGUUAAUGCUCUAAAUUGUUUUGUUUCUGAUAAGACUGUGACAAGAGGCAAAUGAUGAUUUAAUAUACAGCAAAUAAUGUUUUUGCUUGAAUGAUAGAACACACUGUUUGUAUGACAGUAGAAUUCCACCUGCAAUAACAGAGACUAUGGAUUAUUCACAAACAUCUGUUUCAAAGCUGCCUUCAAGGUCAUUAACUUAUUAUGCCUACGCCUUCUGCAAUGUGAAUUCAGAGCUUCGCAGACACCCCAAAGAAAACUAUUUGUAGUGACACCAAUAUUGUCGUGGUCAUGACUGUAAAGAAGAUUCGACACUACUUCAUCACUGUUUAGCAUAUUUUUCGAAUUCCAUUUACGAGCAAGUACUCCCACAUCAUUAGGGGCCCUGACGAGGCAGCUGAUGAAAGUAAUGUAGUCAUCUACGAAAGUAUCCUCAAUCCAAUUAUAGCAUUCCUCAAAGGCCAGGAGAUUUCUGAAUAAGAUUUCCGUGCCUUCAUCUAUUUGCAGUUGUGGGAUUUCUAGAAUCCCUUUCCUGAAUGUUAUGUCAAACAGUGAGCUUCUUUCUGGAUUCCUAAAUUUCACUCCAGAUUGAUGGAGCUCUGUUGCAGUGGGUGCUCUUGAAAAGGUUGUUUCCAGUGGACGAUGGCACAAUGCCGGUGGCUGCUGACACCUUCUUAGGAAGUCAACGAAAUGUAGGACUCCAGAGAAAUCAAUUGCUUUCGAACAGUCCUCUUUCACCCAGCCAGCCCAUUGACUUCUUAGAAACCCACAGGUAAGCUCAAUAAUGGUACAAUUCUCAGCUUCACUGGAUAGCUCAAAAAACUUCUCGAGGAUGAAGAAUGGAAGCUGAUUUUCAAGCAAUAGCAUAUCGAACACUACGUUAUGUAGCAUAAAUGGACGAUAGAAAAUCCGAUCACUACGUCCAUUUCUAAAAACCAAUCUCCUGUACUUCAACUUCAGUAAGACCAUAAUAAUAAAGACGGCAUCCAGUGCGAAUUCUUUUAUAGUAAGUUGAAUGGUCUCUGCAUAACAAUCACGUAAUGCUGCUUCAUUCUCCUUGAUAAUGUUAUAUAAAUUCUCCUUACCUACCUUGUUCUGGUCAAGAAACUGCUGCAGGUACGUUUCUUUUUGGUCUUCCAUAGCUUUGAGAUUUUCCUUACCAUGGUGAAAAGGGCCUAUUGAGACUACUCGAGGUGUAAAUGCCUUUCUAUGUAACUUCCGCGAUCGUUCGGGGACUCUAUAGAUGCAGCAUUCCGGGGAGGGAGCCUUCUCGAUCUUCAAUUGCUCCCUCCUAGAAUUGGCUAACUCAUUGAUAUCAAGUGAAACUUCAUCGCUCUGAUCCAUUAUCUGCUGAUCAGUACAAUCGCGCUGGUGUUCAGAAACAGCACGUAUAUACUAACACUAAGUCAUGAAAUAAAACAUAUUCUGACAACAACCACAAUAAUAGUUUGCAUGAAAUCAAUCAUAAUUUGUGGUUAUUUCUACCUCUGUUAAUUUUCAAGGGGUUUCUAGUGACGAGCUUUUUACUCAUGUUUUAUUAUGGAAUGCAAAUUAGUGGUGUCUUGCUGUGAAAUAAAAGGGUAAACUUCAUUUAUUUUCCUUGUAAUAGAUUCAUUAAUAUUCUACUUCUACUCCUACUCCUACUCCUACUCUUAUAGUUUUCAUAAAAUCCUGUUAAUAUUACUCUUAACCAUUUAAUAUCUUCUUUUUAUUUUGGUUUUUCAGUUUUUUAGGUUUCGAAUUUUUGUUGUAAGAUACUAUGACAUGCAUAAGGACCUGAGAGGAAAUAAUAUUGCUGCAUAACAAUCACGUAAUUCUUUUUCAUUAUCCUUGAUAACGUAAAAUAAACCCUCCACACUUACCUUCCUCUGUUCAAGAGAUGGUUGCGCCGAUCCACGGUGCCUAUUUUUGUAUUCUCCCGCCCAGCAUUCCAUCGGGGGUCUUUCAUUGCUCCGAUCCAUUAUCCUUUGAUCAGUACUUGAUGUUUCGCCAAAUAUUUCCCUCUGAUCAUUGAACUGAGAUAAUCAAUGGCGUUAGAACCAGCACGUAUAAUUAAUCACUAUUUGAUAAAACAAACUGAAAUACCAUAUUUAAGAAUAACAUUUUCAGGAAACAAACACAAAAUAUUUGCAAGAAAUCAAAAUUGAAACAAGUGAAACUUCAUCGCUCUGACCCAUUAUCUGCUGAUCAGUAAUUGAUGCAAUCGCUGGUGUUUAGAAACAGCACGUAUAUAUACACUAUCACUAAGUCAUGAAGAAAAACAUAUUCUGAAAACAACCACAAUAAUAGUUUGCAUGAAAUCAAUCUUAAUUUGUGGUUAUUUCUAUCUGUGUUAGUUUUCAUGGGGUUUCUAGUGACGAGCUUUUUACUCAUGUUUUAUUAUGGAAUGCAAACUAGUGGUGUCUUGCUGUGAAAUAAAAGGGUAAACUUCAUUUAUUUUCCUUGUAAUAGAUUCAUUAAUAUUCUACUUCUACUCCUACUCUUAUAGUUUUCAUAAAAUCCUGUUAAUAUUUCUCUUAACUAUUUAAUAUCUUCUUUUUAUUUUGGUUUUUCAGUUUUUUAGGUUUCGAAUUUUUGUUGUAAGAUACUAUGACAUGCAUAAGGACCUGAGAGGAAAUAAUAUUGCUGCAUAACAAUCACGUAAUUCUUUUUCAUUAUCCUUGAUAACGUAAAAUAAACCCUCCACACUUACCUUCCUCUGUUCAAGAGAUGGUUGCGCCGAUCCACGGUGCCUAUUUUUUAUUCUCCGCCCAGCAUUCCAUCGGGGGUCUUUCAUUGCUCCGAUCCAUUAUCCUUUGAUCAGUACUUGAUGUUUCGCCAAAUAUUUCCCUCUGAUCAUUGAACUGAGAUAAUCAAUGGCGUUAGAACCAGCACGUAUAAUUAAUCACUAUUUGAUAAAACAAACUGAAAUACCAUAUUUAAGAAUAACAUUUUCAGGAAACAAACACAAAAUAUUUGCAAGAAAUCAAAAUUGAAACAAGUGAAACUUCAUCGCUCUGACCCAUUAUCUGCUGAUCAGUAAUUGAUGCAAUCGCUGGUGUUUAGAAACAGCACGUAUAUAUACACUAUCACUAAGUCAUGAAGAAAAACAUAUUCUGAAAACAACCACAAUAAUAGUUUGCAUGAAAUCAAUCUUAAUUUGUGGUUAUUUCUAUCUGUGUUAGUUUUCAUGGGGUUUCUAGUGACGAGCUUUUUACUCAUGUUUUAUUAUGGAAUGCAAACUAGUGGUGUCUUGCUGUGAAAUAAAAGGGUAAACUUCAUUUAUUUUCCUUGUAAUAGAUUCAUUAAUAUUCUACUUCUACUCCUACUCUUAUAGUUUUCAUAAAAUCCUGUUAAUAUUUCUCUUAACUAUUUAAUAUCUUCUUUUUAUUUUGGUUUUUCAGUUUUUAGGUUUCGAAUUUUUGUUGUAAGAUACUAUGACAUGCAUAAGGACCUGAGAGGAAAUAAUAUUGCUGCAUAACAAUCACGUAAUUCUUUUUCAUUAUCCUUGAUAACGUAAAAUAAACCCUCCACACUUACCUUCCUCUGUUCAAGAGAUGGUUGCGCCGAUCCACGGUGCCUAUUUUUGUAUUCUCCCGCCCAGCAUUCCAUCGGGGGUCUUUCAUUGCUCCGAUCCAUUAUCCUUUGAUCAGUACUUGAUGUUUCGCCAAAUAUUUCCCUCUGAUCAUUGAACUGAGAUAAUCAAUGGCGUUAGAACCAGCACGUAUAAUUAAUCACUAUUUGAUAAAACAAACUGAAAUACCAUAUUUAAGAAUAACAUUUUCAGGAAACAAACACAAAAUAUUUGCAAGAAAUCAAAAUUGAAACAAGUGAAACUUCAUCGCUCUGACCCAUUAUCUGCUGAUCAGUAAUUGAUGCAAUCGCUGGUGUUUAGAAACAGCACGUAUAUAUACACUAUCACUAAGUCAUGAAGAAAAACAUAUUCUGAAAACAACCACAAUAAUAGUUUGCAUGAAAUCAAUCUUAAUUUGUGGUUAUUUCUAUCUGUGUUAGUUUUCAUGGGGUUUCUAGUGACGAGCUUUUUACUCAUGUUUUAUUAUGGAAUGCAAACUAGUGGUGUCUUGCUGUGAAAUAAAAGGGUAAACUUCAUUUAUUUUCCUUGUAAUAGAUUCAUUAAUAUUCUACUUCUACUCCUACUCUUAUAGUUUUCAUAAAAUCCUGUUAAUAUUUCUCUUAACUAUUUAAUAUCUUCUUUUUAUUUUGGUUUUUCAGUUUUUUAGGUUUCGAAUUUUUGUUGUAAGAUACUAUGACAUGCAUAAGGACCUGAGAGGAAAUAAUAUUGCUGCAUAACAAUCACGUAAUUCUUUUUCAUUAUCCUUGAUAACGUAAAAUAAACCCUCCACACUUACCUUCCUCUGUUCAAGAGAUGGUUGCGCCGAUCCACGGUGCCUAUUUUUGUAUUCUCCCGCCCAGCAUUCCAUCGGGGGUCUUUCAUUGCUCCGAUCCAUUAUCCUUUGAUCAGUACUUGAUGUUUCGCCAAAUAUUUCCCUCUGAUCAUUGAACUGAGAUAAUCAAUGGCGUUAGAACCAGCACGUAUAAUUAAUCACUAUUUGAUAAAACAAACUGAAAUACCAUAUUUAAGAAUAACAUUUUCAGGAAACAAACACAAAAUAUUUGCAAGAAAUCAAAAUUGAAACAAGUGAAACUUCAUCGCUCUGACCCAUUAUCUGCUGAUCAGUAAUUGAUGCAAUCGCUGGUGUUUAGAAACAGCACGUAUAUAUACACUAUCACUAAGUCAUGAAGAAAAACAUAUUCUGAAAACAACCACAAUAAUAGUUUGCAUGAAAUCAAUCUUAAUUUGUGGUUAUUUCUAUCUGUGUUAGUUUUCAUGGGGUUUCUAGUGACGAGCUUUUUACUCAUGUUUUAUUAUGGAAUGCAAACUAGUGGUGUCUUGCUGUGAAAUAAAAGGGUAAACUUCAUUUAUUUUCCUUGUAAUAGAUUCAUUAAUAUUCUACUUCUACUCCUACUCCUACUCCUACUCUUAUAGUUUUCAUAAAAUCCUGUUAAUAUUACUCUUAACCAUUUAAUAUCUUCUUUUUAUUUUGGUUUUUCAGUUUUUUAGGUUUCGAAUUUUUGUUGUAAGAUACUAUGACAUGCAUAAGGACUUGAGAGGAAAUAAUA